RNAcentral lists this ribosomal RNA (440 nucleotides) under uncultured Giesbergeria sp. RNAcentral describes it as "bacterial SSU rRNA". It matches the Rfam family "Bacterial small subunit ribosomal RNA", at positions 358 to 790 of the family's 1533-position model. The record is from RNAcentral. Lineage: Bacteria; Pseudomonadati; Pseudomonadota; Betaproteobacteria; Burkholderiales; Comamonadaceae.
GGAAUAUUGGACAAUGGGCGAAAGCCUGAUCCAGCCAUGCCGCGUGUGUGAAGAAGGUCUUCGGAUUGUAAAGCACUUUAAGUUGGGAGGAAGGGCAGUUACCUAAUACGUAUCUGUUCUGACGUUACCGACAGAAUAAGCACCGGCUAACUACGUGCCAGCAGCCGCGGUAAUACGUAGGGUGCAAGCGUUAAUCGGAAUUACUGGGCGUAAAGCGUGCGCAGGCGGUUAUAUAAGACAGAUGUGAAAUCCCCGGGCUCAACCUGGGAACUGCAUUUGUGACUGUAUAGCUAGAGUACGGUAGAGGGGGAUGGAAUUCCGCGUGUAGCAGUGAAAUGCGUAGAUAUGCGGAGGAACACCGAUGGCGAAGGCAAUCCCCUGGACCUGUACUGACGCUCAUGCACGAAAGCGUGGGGAGCAAACAGGAUUAGAUACCCGAG